This 465-nucleotide ribosomal RNA is filed under the name uncultured Klebsiella sp. Its description in RNAcentral is "bacterial SSU rRNA". It matches the Rfam family "Bacterial small subunit ribosomal RNA", at positions 338 to 795 of the family's 1533-position model. Lineage: Bacteria; Pseudomonadati; Pseudomonadota; Gammaproteobacteria; Enterobacterales; Enterobacteriaceae. The record is from RNAcentral.
CCUACGGGUGGCUGCAGUGGGGAAUAUUGCACAAUGGGCGCAAGCCUGAUGCAGCCAUGCCGCGUGUGUGAAGAAGGCCUUCGGGUUGUAAAGCACUUUCAGCGGGGAGGAAGGCGUUAAGGUUAAUAACCUUGUCGAUUGACGUUACCCGCAGAAGAAGCACCGGCUAACUCCGUGCCAGCAGCCGCGGUAAUACGGAGGGUGCAAGCGUUAAUCGGAAUUACUGGGCGUAAAGCGCACGCAGGCGGUCUGUCAAGUCGGAUGUGAAAUCCCCGGGCUCAACCUGGGAACUGCAUUCGAAACUGGCAGGCUAGAGUCUUGUAGAGGGGGGUAGAAUUCCAGGUGUAGCGGUGAAAUGCGUAGAGAUCUGGAGGAAUACCGGUGGCGAAGGCGGCCCCCUGGACAAAGACUGACGCUCAGGUGCGAAAGCGUGGGGAGCAAACAGGAUUAGAUAACCCGGUAGUC